Molecule: transfer RNA, 73 nt
Filed under: Micromonas sp. RCC1109 virus MpV1
Lineage: Varidnaviria; Bamfordvirae; Nucleocytoviricota; Megaviricetes; Algavirales; Phycodnaviridae
Also listed under: 1 other name
Rfam family: tRNA
About the family: Transfer RNA (tRNA) molecules are approximately 80 nucleotides in length. Their secondary structure includes four short double-helical elements and three loops (D, anti-codon, and T loops).
Source: Rfam by way of RNAcentral
CCUCUCUUAGCUCAGUUGGGAGAGCAGUGGACUGUAGUUCCAAGGGUCAGGUGUUCGAUUCACCUAGAGAGGA